Molecule: ribosomal RNA, 463 nt
Filed under: uncultured bacterium
Lineage: Bacteria
Description: bacterial SSU rRNA
Rfam family: Bacterial small subunit ribosomal RNA
Source: RNAcentral
CAUGUCACGAGUUUGACUCCUGGCUACAAGAACGAACGCUGGCGGCAUGCCUAACACAUGCAAGUCGAACGAGACCUUCGGGUCUAGUGGCGCACGGGUGCGUAACACGUGGGAAUUUGCCUCGGGGUAUGGAAUAACUCAGGGGAACUUGAGCUAAUACCAUAUAAUGUCUUCGGACCAAAGAUUUAUCGCCCUGAGAUAAGCCCGCGUAGGAUUAGCUAGUUGGUGGGGUAAAGGCUCACCAAGGCGACGAUCCUUAGCUGGUCUGAGAGGAUGAUCAGCCACACUGGGACUGAGACACGGCCCAGACUCCUACGGGAGGCAGCAGUGGGGAAUAUUGGACAAUGGGCGAAAGCCUGAUCCAGCAAUGCCGCGUGAGUGAUGAAGGCCUUCGGGUUGUAAAGCUCUUUUACUCGGGACGAUAAUGACGGUACCGAGAGAAUAAGCCCCGGCUAACUCCGUG